Molecule: non-coding RNA, 280 nt
Organism: Anolis carolinensis (green anole)
Lineage: Eukaryota; Metazoa; Chordata; Lepidosauria; Squamata; Anolidae
Source: Ensembl
GGUCGGUGAUGAUGAAAGGAAAGCCUGAUUGCACUGGUGAACUGCACACCCAUAACUUUCUUUGCUCCCAGCAGCUUCUUCCUCUCUCCCCCACAUCCAUGCUGCAGUAAUGCUGCGAUGUAUUUUGAGGCUGCUGACAUUAUGCGGAUAAAGUUGCUGCUUGUUACCUGUAGUAUAAGGUGCUUGGCAUUGACUUCUAUCCAAUAAACCCAGUCAAGGAGCUAUCAGUUCUGGGAUGUGUCUUUUAAUGUGCAUGAUCUUUAGUUUUCAAGCUGAGACC